Oncorhynchus mykiss (rainbow trout) is the source of this 1080-nucleotide non-coding RNA. Lineage: Eukaryota; Metazoa; Chordata; Actinopteri; Salmoniformes; Salmonidae. The record is from RefSeq and is a predicted model, not a curated record.
CCGCCUGUACUUCCUGGAGCCACAACCCUCAGACGUCGACUUCAAAACGCUUCCGUAAAAUAUUCCACUCCGGUGCGUACUGCUCCGUUUUCAGUGUACUAGCUAGUAUACGACGUUUUUGGAAAUAUUGUUCAACAUUUAUCUAAAUAGAAUGAAGGCCAAGGGAUUUGCAGUUACCCAUCACCUGUAAAGGAUACUUCCUCUGACAUUCUUAGAGCUGUCAUUUUAUUGUGAGGAACUGCAGUUCGAUCGGAAUAGUUGUUCUGUUUUUGUCCUCUGUUUUGUGAGUGACCCUCUCACUCAGUCAACUCGUCUCAGUGCACAAGUCUCCCCUUCUCCAGACACCGCGUAUGAAUCAGAAUCCGUAGCUAGUUGUGACACGUGAGCCUCUGGAUGAAAAGCAGAGUAUCCCUAAAGCAGCGUGGUCGUAUCAGCCCCCCAUGUUGGACUAAACUCUACACAAGUGAAAACCCCAAAUCCCUAAAGAUCCUCUAUUUGCCAAACUAGAGGGACAUGAAGUCUGACUCCUUCCUCAACAUGUGGACCUGCCCUGAGGAUGUUGGACACCACUGUUACACCUUCAGCCUUGUUGAUUUCCUGUCAGACUGGUUGUUUUUCAACUCCAUUCCACGGACGGACUGACCUGAAAUUUUACCAGAACAGGAACACAAUGUUCAACAGACUCUACUCAGACUGGUCGUCUUUGAACUCAAGAGGAACACAAUGUUCAUCAGACUCUACUCAGACUAGUCGUCUUUGAACUCAAGAGGAACACAAUGUUCAUCAGACUCUCUCCUCACCAGUGGACUGACUACUGAGACUGGUUGUGAGGUCACAGGAAAUAGAGUGAUCUGUUAGGAGGGAUGCAGCAUUGUAAUCCUGAUUUAGAUGAUGGUUAUAAGGAGAGUUCAGGUCGUAACCAGUCCACUGAGAUGAAUGUAGAUGUCGACACCCUGGCCAAUAUAAAAGGCUUUGGAGAGGGACCACGCUUUCAGGAGAAGGAUAACUGACAUUUACUCCUGAGGUGUCUGACUUGUUGCACCCUCGACAACCACUGUGAUUAUUAUUAUUUGACCCUGC